CCCAGACUCCUACGGGAGGCAGCAGUGGGGAAUAUUGCACAAUGGGGGAAACCCUGAUGCAGCGACGCCGCGUGAGUGAAGAAGUAUUUCGGUAUGUAAAGCUCUAUCAGCAGGGAAGAAAAAAGACGGUACCUGACUAAGAAGCCCCGGCUAACUACGUGCCAGCAGCCGCGGUAAUACGUAGGGGGCAAGCGUUAUCCGGAAUUACUGGGUGUAAAGGGUGCGUAGGUGGCAUGGUAAGUCAGAAGUGAAAGCCCGGGGCUUAACCCCGGGACUGCUUUUGAAACUGUCAUGCUGGAGUGCAGGAGAGGUAAGCGGAAUUCCUAGUGUAGCGGUGAAAUGCGUAGAUAUUAGGAGGAACACCAGUGGCGAAGGCGGCUUACUGGACUGUCACUGACACUGAUGCGCGAAAGCGUGGGGAGCAAACAGGAUUAGAUACCCGGGUA
Molecule: ribosomal RNA, 446 nt
Filed under: uncultured bacterium
Lineage: Bacteria
Description: bacterial SSU rRNA
Rfam family: Bacterial small subunit ribosomal RNA
Source: RNAcentral